This 500-nucleotide ribosomal RNA is filed under the name uncultured bacterium. RNAcentral's name for it is "partial 16S ribosomal RNA". It matches the Rfam family "Bacterial small subunit ribosomal RNA", at positions 30 to 523 of the family's 1533-position model. The record is from RNAcentral.
AUUGAACGCUGGCGGCAUGCCUUACACAUGCAAGUCGAACGGCAGCACGGGAGCAAUCCUGGUGGCGAGUGGCGAACGGGUGAGUAAAGUAUCGGAACGUGCCCAGUCGUGGGGGAUAACGUAGCGAAAGUUACGCUAAUACCGCAUACGAUCUAUGGAUGAAAGCGGGGGAUCGCAAGACCCCGCGCGAUUGGAGCGGCCGAUAUCAGAUUAGGUAGUUGGUGGGGUAAAGGCUCACCAAGCCGACGAUCUGUAGCUGGUCUGAGAGGACGACCAGCCCAACUGGGACUGAGACACGGCCCAGACUCCUACGGGAGGCAGCAGUGGGGAAUUUUGGACAAUGGGCGAAAGCCUGAUCCAGCCAUGCCGCGUGCAGGAUGAAGGCCUUCGGGUUGUAAACUGCUUUUGUACGGAACGAAAAGGUUUGGCCUAAUAAGCUGAGCUCAUGACGGUACCGUAAGAAUAAGCACCGGCUAACUACGUGCCAGCCGCCGCCGUAA